AUUGAACGCUGGCGGCAGGCCUAACACAUGCAAGUCGAACGGUAACAGGAAACAGCUUGCUGUUUCGCUGACGAGUGGCGGACGGGUGAGUAAUGUCUGGGAAACUGCCUGAUGGAGGGGGAUAACUACUGGAAACGGUAGCUAAUACCGCAUAACGUCGCAAGACCAAAGAGGGGGACCUUCGGGCCUCUUGCCAUCGGAUGUGCCCAGAUGGGAUUAGCUAGUAGGUGGGGUAACGGCUCACCUAGGCGACGAUCCCUAGCUGGUCUUAGAGGAUGACCAGCCACGCUGGAACUGAGACACGGUCCAGACUCCUACGGGAGGCAGCAGUGGGGAAUAUUGCACAAUGGGCGCAAGCCUGAUGCAGCCAUGCCGCGUGUAUGAAGAAGGCCUUCGGGUUGUAAAGUACUUUCAGCGGGGAGGAAGGGAGUAAAGUUAAUACCUUUGCUCAUUGACGUUACCCGCAGAAGAAGCACCGGCUAACUCCGUGCCAGCAGCCGCCGCAG
RNAcentral lists this ribosomal RNA (506 nucleotides) under uncultured bacterium. RNAcentral describes it as "partial 16S ribosomal RNA". It matches the Rfam family "Bacterial small subunit ribosomal RNA", at positions 30 to 523 of the family's 1533-position model. The record is from RNAcentral.